UUGUCCUACGGGGCGCAGCAGUAGGGAAUCUUUCACAAUGGGCGAAAGCCUGAUGGAGCAACGCCGCGUGCAGGAUGAAGGCCUUCGGGUUGUAAACUGCUUUUAUAAGCGAGAAAUAUGAUGGUAACUUAUGAAUAAGGAUCGGCUAACUACGUGCCAGCAGCCGCGGUCAUACGUAGGGGGCAAGCGUUAUCCGGAUUUACUGGGUGUAAAGGGGGCGCAGACGGCGAUGCAAGCCAGGAGUGAAAGCCCGGGGCCCAACCCCGGGACUGCUCUUGGAACUGCGUGGCUGGAGUGCAGGAGGG
RNAcentral lists this ribosomal RNA (305 nucleotides) under uncultured bacterium. Its description in RNAcentral is "bacterial SSU rRNA". It matches the Rfam family "Bacterial small subunit ribosomal RNA", at positions 334 to 656 of the family's 1533-position model. The record is from RNAcentral.